UACGUAGGUGGCGAGCGUUGUCCGGAUUUACUGGGCGUAAAGAGCGCGCAGGCGGCUGGUCAAGUCCGAUGUGAAAGCUCCCGGCUUAACUGGGAAAUUGCAUCGGAAACUGAUCGGCUGGAAGGUGGGAGAGGGUAGCGGAAUUCCCGGUGUAGUGGUGAAAUGCGUAGAGAUGCGGAGGAACACCGAUGGCGAAGGCAGCCCCCUGGGCUAACACUGACGCUCAGGCACGAAAGCGUGGGGAGCAAACAGG
This 253-nucleotide ribosomal RNA is filed under the name uncultured bacterium. RNAcentral describes it as "partial 16S ribosomal RNA". It matches the Rfam family "Bacterial small subunit ribosomal RNA", at positions 524 to 776 of the family's 1533-position model. The record is from RNAcentral.